AACUUUUAAAGGAUAACAGUAAU
RNAcentral lists this transfer RNA (23 nucleotides) under Phrynocephalus axillaris (toad-headed agama). Its description in RNAcentral is "partial tRNA-Leu". Lineage: Eukaryota; Metazoa; Chordata; Lepidosauria; Squamata; Agamidae. The record is from RNAcentral.